Molecule: ribosomal RNA, 253 nt
Filed under: uncultured bacterium
Lineage: Bacteria
Description: partial 16S ribosomal RNA
Rfam family: Bacterial small subunit ribosomal RNA
Source: RNAcentral
UACGUAGGGUGCAAGCGUUGUCCGGAAUUACUGGGCGUAAAGGGCUAGUAGGCGGCCAACUAAGUCAGACGUGAAAUCCCUCAGCUUAACUGGGGAACUGCGUCUGAUACUGGCGAGCUUGAGUGCAGGAGAGGAACGCGGAAUUCCAGGUGUAGCGGUGAAAUGCGUAGAUAUCUGGAGGAACACCGGUGGCGAAGGCGGCGUUCUGGACUGCAACUGACACUGAUGAACGAAAGCCAGGGGAGCAAACGGG